RNAcentral lists this ribosomal RNA (544 nucleotides) under uncultured organism. RNAcentral's name for it is "bacterial SSU rRNA". It matches the Rfam family "Bacterial small subunit ribosomal RNA", at positions 1 to 529 of the family's 1533-position model. The record is from RNAcentral.
UUUUGGAUCCAGACUUUGAUCAUGGCUCAGGAUGAACUCUAGCUACAGGCUUAACACAUGCAAGUCGAGGGGAAACGAUAGAGAAAGCUUGCUUUUUCUAGGCGUCGACCGGCGCACGGGUGAGUAACGCGUAUCCAACCUGCCCACCACUUGGGGAUAACCUUGCGAAAGUAAGACUAAUACCCAAUGACGUCUCUAGAAGACAUCUGAAAGAGAUUAAAGAUUUAUCGGUGAUGGAUGGGGAUGCGUCUGAUUAGCUUGUUGGCGGGGUAACGGCCCACCAAGGCGACGAUCAGUAGGGGUUCUGAGAGGAAGGUCCCCCACAUUGGAACUGAGACACGGUCCAAACUCCUACGGGAGGCAGCAGUGAGGAAUAUUGGUCAAUGGGCGAGAGCCUGAACCAGCCAAGUAGCGUGCAGGAUGACGGCCCUAUGGGUUGUAAACUGCUUUUAUAAGGGAAUAAAGUGGGAGUCGUGACUCCUUUUGUAUGUACCUUAUGAAUAAGGACCGGCUAAUUCCGUGCCAGCAGCCGCGGUAAUACGGA